This 296-nucleotide ribosomal RNA is filed under the name uncultured bacterium. Its description in RNAcentral is "partial 16S ribosomal RNA". It matches the Rfam family "Bacterial small subunit ribosomal RNA", at positions 789 to 1084 of the family's 1533-position model. The record is from RNAcentral.
GUUAGUCCUAGCAGUAAACGAUGGCUACUAGGUGUGGGGGGUGUUGACCCCUCCUGUGCCGAAGCUAACGCAUUAAGUAGCCCGCCUGGGGAGUACGGUCGCAAGACUAAAACUCAAAGGAAUUGACGGGACCCGCACAAGCAGCGGAGCGUGUGGUUUAAUUCGAUGCAACGCGAAGAACCUUACCUGGGCUUGACAUCUAUUUGCAACACUCUGAAAGGGGGUGCUUCCUUCGGGACAGAUAGACAGAUGCUGCAUGGCUGUCGUCAGCUCGUGUCGUGAGAUGUUGGGUUAAG